RNAcentral lists this ribosomal RNA (329 nucleotides) under Ixodes scapularis (black-legged tick). RNAcentral's name for it is "eukaryotic small subunit ribosomal RNA". It matches the Rfam family "Eukaryotic small subunit ribosomal RNA", at positions 1229 to 1412 of the family's 1831-position model. The record is from RNAcentral. Lineage: Eukaryota; Metazoa; Arthropoda; Arachnida; Ixodida; Ixodidae.
UUCUGGGAGGAUUGACUGAUUGAGAGCUCUUUCUUGAUUCGGUGGACGGUGGUGCAUUGGCCGUUCUAAGUUGGUGGAGUGAUUUGUCUGGUUAAUUCCGAUAACGAACGAGACUCUAGCCUAUUAAAUCGGUGCGCGGUUCUCUUAACCUGUGAAAAAGUGGUGAAUCUCCGGCAGACGCAGGACAGGUAACACAGCCAUCGCUUUGACUAGCAGACGUAAAGCAGACGAUGCAAACUGCGCCAACCGCGCUAACCAGACGACGCCGUUAAAGGGUGAGGAGUCUCGCCGCACGCGAUAGGAUGGAACUUGCGGACGCUAACCGCCCU